GGAUAAGAGCUCAACAGCGUUUUGUGGGAUGUGUCGCAUCUCGGUGAGUCUCUUUCUCCUACAUGCCUUCCUCUUCUAGCCUAGCCGACAGGUGCGCUCGAUCAGCUUCUUUGAUAGAUCCCAACAUUUUAUUUUUAUCCUCUGGCAACCUACAUUCUGUCGCCUGCCAUGCUGCGUUUUUCGCUUGUGUGGUCUUCAUCAAUUCUAUAAGUGGUGGCCAGCUAGGAAGUUGUCUGACCAAAAUAUACCGUGAACUUCUCAAUGAAGCACAGGUACCCAGUCAAGCAUUUGAAGUAGUGAUGUUGAAGCUGUGCAUCCCCUUAACCAUAUCAACACUUUAAAUCUAAUAUUCGAUGAGGGCUUACUUCUUACAGGUUUUUUUCUUAGCUUUUUUCAUGAUCUUUUAUCCCAAUUUUAUUGGCCCAUUUAUCUGCACAAUGAACUGAUACACAUGCCCUUUUCGUCCAAAGGUAGAUGUUGGUACCACAAGCAUGUUGUUUAGCGUGUACAAAAUUUGAUGAUUUCAAACAUGUUUCUUGGCUUGAAAUUUUGAGGAUACACCUGUCAUUAUCAUUUGUGCACCAUUUGCUCAUAAAAAAUAUUACUACAACACUUCAAUUAUCAAUAGGGUGAGCUGAGCUUUGGUGAACUGCAUGUGUAGAGAGUGAUGAGGAGAUAUGGAGGAUAAAAUUUGGACCUAAACGCAGGAGGUCUAUAUAGAGAAAAGAAAAGGAUAAAAGCUGCCGAGCCAAGUUGGUUUACUCUUUCCAUUCUUAUUAUGCUGAGCCACGCCGCACUAUUCAUAGCAGAUACUUUGCAUUGUCAUUACUCAUUAUGUUGUUUUGAACAGGCCUAUGAGGAUAGAGGCUGAUUCGGUAAGGUCUGAUGGUAGAUAUAUUUUGUUUCUUCAGUAAAGCUUACAAUUCAAAUCAUUUUAGUAUUUGGUUAACGUUUAUAGAUCAAGAAAUUGAUUAUGUGUCGCUUUAACUGAUCUCAUAACAGUCUAGAAUAUAUUGUUGAGAACUAUCAUUAAUCAUAACUUAACAGUAAUAUAUAUUCGCUGGUUUCUAGUUUGCUCGAACUAAAUGACAAUGGACAUACCUACCUUGAGAACGUUUUUUGGAGGAAAUAAAACACUGGAUCUUGGCAUAUUCAGAAGGUUAGCUUCCCUAUUUGCGACUUGCAUCAGUAGCACUAUCAUCAGGCAGCAGCACAAAAACCCCGACAUACCCAUAAAAAUCUGUGUACUCUGUCCGCCUGAAGAAAUGCCAAAUGCACCAGAAGAUGGCAAAGCUUCAGGAUCCUCGCCGACCAGACGACACCUGCCUCGAAUGAAGAAGAUGUCAGCUGCACGAUUGAAAAAAAAAAGAUGAAGGCCAAGGCAUGAGCUACUACACCAACCAAGAAGUACAUCAACAAAGAACUCUUCGUAUUC
Lolium perenne is the source of this 1435-nucleotide long non-coding RNA. RefSeq lists it as uncharacterized. Lineage: Eukaryota; Viridiplantae; Streptophyta; Magnoliopsida; Poales; Poaceae. The record is from RefSeq and is a predicted model, not a curated record.